CACACCAUAAACGAUGGAUACUUGUUGUUGGAGGUAUUGACCCCUUCAGUGACGCAGUUAACACGGUAAGUAUCCCGCCUGGGGAGUACGGUCGCAAGAUUAAAACUCAAAGAAAUUGACGGGGGCCCGCACAAGCGGUGGAGUAUGUGGUUUAAUUCGAUGCAACGCGAAGAACCUUACCUGGACUUGACAUGAACUGGAAGAGUGGCAGAGAUGUCCUCGCUCGCAAGAGUCGGUUCACAGGUGC
This 247-nucleotide ribosomal RNA is filed under the name uncultured bacterium. RNAcentral describes it as "partial 16S ribosomal RNA". It matches the Rfam family "Bacterial small subunit ribosomal RNA", at positions 796 to 1041 of the family's 1533-position model. The record is from RNAcentral.